GAGGAAUAAGCAUCGGCUAACUCCGUGCCAGCAGCCGCGGUAAUACGGGGGAUGCAAGCGUUAUCCGGAAUCAUUGGGCGUAAAGCGCCUGUAGGUUGUUUAAUAAGUCUGUUGUUAAAGACUAGGGCUCAACCCUAGAAAAGCAAUGGAAACUACUAGACUAGAGUAUGGCAGGGGUAGAGGGAAUUUCUAGUGUAGCGGUGAAAUGCGUAGAUAUUAGAAAGAACACCGGUGGCGAAAGCGCUCUACUGGACCAUUACUGACACUCAGAGGCGAAAGCUAGGGUAGCAAAAGGGAUUAGAUACCCCUGUAGUCCUAGCCGUAAACGAUGGAUACUAGAUGUUGUGAUUUAUUUACAGUGUCCUAGCUAACGCGUUAAGUAUCCCGCCUGGGGAGUACGCUCGCAAGGGUGAAACUCAAAGGAAUUGACGGGGGCCCGCACAAGCGGUGGAGCAUGUGGUUUAAUUCGAUGCAACGCGAAGAACCUUACCAGGGCUUGACAUACUACAGAUUCUUUAGAGAUAGAGAAGUGCCUUCGGGAAUGUAGAUACAGGUGGUGCAUGGCUGUCGUCAGCUCGUGUCGUGAGAUGUUGGGUUAAGUCCCGCAACGAGCGCAACCCUUAUUUUUAGUUACUAAUUCGUUAGGUUCUCUAGAAAGACUGCCGGUGACAAACCGGAGGAAGGUGAGGAUGACGUCAAGUCAGCAUGCCCCUUAUGCCCUGGGCUACACACGUGCUACAAUGGUUAAGACAAAGAGUCGCGAGCUCGCGAGAGUCAGCUAAUCUCAUAAACUUAGCCUAAGUUCAGAUUGUAGGCUGCAACUCGCCUGCGUGAAG
Molecule: ribosomal RNA, 836 nt
Filed under: Haptophyta environmental samples
Lineage: Eukaryota; Haptophyta
Description: bacterial SSU rRNA
Rfam family: Bacterial small subunit ribosomal RNA
Source: RNAcentral